RNAcentral lists this ribosomal RNA (497 nucleotides) under uncultured bacterium. RNAcentral describes it as "partial 16S ribosomal RNA". It matches the Rfam family "Bacterial small subunit ribosomal RNA", at positions 28 to 507 of the family's 1533-position model. The record is from RNAcentral.
GAUGAACGCUGGCGGCGUGCCUAAUACAUGCAAGUCGAGCGAACAGACGAGGAGCUUGCUCCUCUGACGUUAGCAGCGGACGGGUGAGUAACACGUGGAUAACCUACCUAUAAGACUGGGAUAACUUCGGGAAACCGGAGCUAAUACCGGAUAAUAUAUUGAACCGCAUGGUUCAAUAGUGAAAGACGGUUUUGCUGUCACUUAUAGAUGGAUCCGCGCCGCAUUAGCUAGUUGGUAAGGUAACGGCUUACCAAGGCAACGAUGCGUAGCCGACCUGAGAGGGUGAUCGGCCACACUGGAACUGAGGCACGGUCCAGACUCCUACGGGAGGCAGCAGUAGGGAAUCUUCCGCAAUGGGCGAAAGCCUGACGGAGCAACGCCGCGUGAGUGAUGAAGGUCUUCGGAUCGUAAAACUCUGUUAUUAGGGAAGAACAAAUGUGUAAGUAACUAUGCACGUCUUGACGGUACCUAAUCAGAAAGCCACGGCUAACUACGUG